This 639-nucleotide long non-coding RNA is filed under the name Prunus persica (peach). Its description in RNAcentral is "long non-coding RNA (PPER_LNC000300)". The record is from RNAcentral. Lineage: Eukaryota; Viridiplantae; Streptophyta; Magnoliopsida; Rosales; Rosaceae.
UUGUCAGCUCACGUUGGCAUGGGGAUAAGCUUUAAAUGAAAGUUACACAUGUUUCUUUAGGUCAUUUUUUUUUUCUUUCUUUUCUUUCUUUUUGGGAUCGAAUCCACCAGUCAUGACAUUGAUGGAAUAAUCUCUUAAAAUUAAGUAUGAGAAUUAAUUCCAUUUUACGUGUCGAUGUUUGCGACUUUGUUGGUAAUAAAUUUAAUACUUGAUUGAAGAAGUGGGAUUUCCACCAGCAUGAUUUUAUUUUAUUUUAUUUUCUUGCUUAGGAAAUGAUUUGUAAUGAUGGGGUUAGGGAUUAGGAACAUAAUCUCAUGAUAUAUUAUAGUCACAUAAUUAAUCAAAUUGUAAGGAAUAUAAUUACGUACUUCCCUCUAAAUUUUAAUCAAAGGCUAUGCACUAGUUAUAAUUAAUCAAGCCAGCCAGAGGAUUAGGGGCCAUGCACCUAUAAAUUAAAAGUGAGUGGAAAAAUGUCGGAAUCUAUAGUCACAUUAACUGGUUCGGCUUCUCUCCACAUUACUCAUAGCUAACCUCCGAGUAGGUAGGUGCUUGAUCAUGAGGAUCUACUAGAAGAAAGGGUAUGCUUGAAAAACAUAGUUUUAUGCCUAGCUAGGCCUAGCCGCCUAGCCCUCAUGCUAG